Molecule: ribosomal RNA, 497 nt
Filed under: uncultured Pseudomonadota bacterium
Lineage: Bacteria; Pseudomonadati; Pseudomonadota
Description: bacterial SSU rRNA
Rfam family: Bacterial small subunit ribosomal RNA
Source: RNAcentral
CCUGAUCCAGCAAUGCCGCGUGAGUGAUGAAGGCCUUCGGGUUGUAAAGCUCUUUCGCACGCGACGAUGAUGACGGUAGCGUGAGAAGAAGCCCCGGCUAACUUCGUGCCAGCAGCCGCGGUAAUACGAAGGGGGCUAGCGUUGUUCGGAAUUACUGGGCGUAAAGGGCGCGUAGGCGGUGUGUCAAGUCAGGCGUGAAAGCCCCGGGCUCAACCUGGGAACCGCGCUUGAGACUGGCACGCUAGAGUUCGGGAGAGGAUGGUGGAAUUCCCAGUGUAGAGGUGAAAUUCGUAGAUAUUGGGAAGAACACCGAUGGCGAAGGCAGCCAUCUGGACCGACACUGACGCUGAGGCGCGAAAGCGUGGGGAGCAAACAGGAUUAGAUACCCUGGUAGUCCACGCCGUAAACGAUGAGUGCUAGACGUCGGGGCCCUCAGGGCUUCGGUGUCGCAGCUAACGCAUUAAGCACUCCGCCUGGGGAGUACGGCCGCAAGGUUA